UUCCUCCUCCGCUCUGUUAGUCUGGAAGUUGUUUGAAAUGUGAAGCUGAAGCGUUCUGGGGUUUCUCGUCGUGGUUAUUGAUGGAGAAUGGUAUGUUCUUCAUGAAUGAAGGAUCUGUGGGAUCAUGUGGGAGCAAGGAUCGCACUUCCUCUGUGGUUAGAUAGAAUGUUUUAUGGUCAUGAUUAUUUUUAAGUCUGUGCUUUGAUGGAUCUGAUGUGACAGCUGCCCAAAAAAACCCCAAAAAACAUCAAUCUCCAUCUGUAUAUCUUAGCGUAUAUGUUACACAGUUUGAAUGUGUGUGAGGACAGCUUGAUGAUUCAGUGGAUGGUGUUUGUCUUUGGGACUGUAUGCACUUUACAGCACUCAUUAAGCUUGGUUGGCUAGUUACUGUAACUCAUUAAAGCGUUGUUUGGCACGGCCCAGUGCGUGUGUAUGGACCCAGAAAAUCAGGAUUGUGCAUAAAGAGGCACGGUCUACACUGGCCAAACAGAGAGGCGAUGAACAGAAGGUAGAUAAAAUAUGUCCAUUUAGAUAUACAGUUUUUAAAAAGUUUGACUCUCUGGAAGUAAAAUUUAUUCACUUUAUAAACUUUUUAAAGUUGGGCAAGAAGAUUGAGAGUUUUGUGUAGUGCGCUAAAUGUGUCAUGCUAGUUUAGCCUAGCAAUGAAAACAAUGUGGUUAAAUGUUAGCCUACCUUGCUUAAUGCCACGAAACAUGCUUCUAAGCCUUUUUGAUUUAUUUUAAUUCAGAUUUAAUAUAAAUGUGAUGAAAAGAUUUAGUUUUGUGAGAAAUAAUUAACUAGUAGACGCCAAGCUAGCUGCUACCGUUAGCUAUGACUCAGCAAAAAGAGCUGAGUUAUACUAACCAGCUGCUGCUAGCAUGUUUGGCACCAGCGUUAUUUUAAAAACCUUGUACCCCUAAACUUUUUCUGGUGGUGGUUUGGCAGAGGAAUUAGGGUAUGGAUCUUUGAGGACGUUUUUUAAAAUAAGAGUUAAUUGGGGUGACCAUAUUCUGAAUUCCCAAAAAGAGGACAUGACGAUGCGGGGGAGGAGUCACAGAGUCCCAAAAAGUUAAUUUUGAGAGUUUUUCAGGUUGGAUCUAGUGUCUUUUAACGCACUUCUAACUCAGUAAGUCCACAUGACACAAACUCGAAACUUCUAUACUAAACCCCAGACAUUUGAAGGAUUUUAUAAACUUCCCCGGACAGGGUUGGACAGCCCCCAAAAGAGAAGAUCUAUCCGAGUAAAAAAGGAUGUAUGGUCACCUUAAGUUAAUCUUGACCAUUUAUGCAAUGUAUGUGUUUGGUCAAUAAAGGUCAUUGAAAAGAGACAAAAACUAACAGCCAUAUUUCAUGAAAAUGACUCCAAUGAUAACCUGUGUGGAAAUCAUGUAAUUAUCCUCAUAUUUAACUGAAUGUGUGUCUUUAUCUUUAUCAUGAAGUGCGUGUUUUUGAAAUAUCUUCCAAUAGUGGUCAAGGUGGAGCUUUGGCUGUUGUCAUUAUUGUCUGUAUAUGAAACUGUAACUAUUUUAAUACUCCAUUUAAUCAGUUUCUUCCAUUCAAGCUUAAUCUCGAUCCACAUCUCUUCCCCUCUCAGCACACAUAAUUAUUAAUCACCACAUUUUAAUUUAGCUCUAUAAACUCUGACCUGCUUUUUCUCUCUCAGAUAAUAACCAGGAGAGUGAGCAGGUGCUCUCAUCAGCCUAAUGCACUAUAACCGGUAAUGCGAUCUCCUGGGUAGUGGGGUUGUAAGUGAGCGCUUUCCCCUGUCAUCCCUUCAAAUCCCACUGGACAAGAAUUAUGCUCGUGUGAAUUAUUAAAGUGGGCAUAAGUCUGAAGGGUUUAUCAUCCAGAGAUUUCCUUGUCAUUACUUUAGACUACACAUUUGUUCAAAUUCUUGUGUCUUCCUGAGUCUUUUCCUGUGAGGGGAGCAUUUUCAUCCUCUUCUUCCCUAUUGUGUGUACUUUAUACUACACUGCAGAGGUGACAAGAAAGUCGUUUACCCACAGGAGAUUAUGAAACAAAAAGGAACUGGUGUCCAACUCUGCAAGAUUAUCCGUGCGUGUGUGUGGUCAGCCACCAGCGAUAUAAUUGAGCUGAGUGCCAGAUGUGCCUCUCCUACAUUAUAGAUGAUAGUGGCAAACAUAAGGUCUGCAUGAGGUUUCAACAUCAAGCUCCCUCCUGAGUCUGUCUCUAAAAUCUGCUGUGUAUUAGUGUCAGGUUUAUUGUAGUUUAUUGAUGCUUGUAGUCCUUGAAAGUCUGUCUUACAGGUUUAAGGAAAACAUGUUUAUUCAUUUAAACUGGAGUCAUUUACUCAAUCACUCUCAUUUUAUCCUCUCUUCUUUAUAAGAGUUAUUAAUUUAAUGAUUGAUUUGAUUGAUUGAUAAAUGAAUUAUAGUUUAGUUAAGAUGCACUUUAAUAUGGCUUGACUUGAGCAUAGAUAAAUGCUCCGUAGAGUCACGCAUUGAUUUUUAAAAGGCGUCUUGAAGCCCAUCAAUGGCUGUUGCCGUAUUGAUGAUUGAUUUACAUGAUGGUAUAAAAUGUGAUUUAUUGCUUUGUCCUUCUGAAACUAGACUUUUAAAAAUACAUGUAAACACACAGGGUGGCCAUGGCUCUGUGUAUGUUUAGUUGUCCCUCAUUUUAAAGAUCAGGGGUUCAAUUUCAAGACCUGUUAUUCAAAUACUGGACUGUUCUAGGGCAAGACACCUAACCCCCCUAAAUUUCCCAACUGUUGUACUAUUGGUAUAAUUAUGGGAUCAGUUAAAACUGGUAGCCGUGAUUGUAAUGCAAUGUUAACAAUGUGACAUGCGAUGUAAAGGCAUUUUGAGUGGUCGGGAGCCAAGAGGAGUUACAAUAAAAGCUUAGACAAGUUACCAUGAUAGUUUGACUGAAAUCAUGCUCAGCCGAAUGACCCAAAGUUGGACCAGCAAAGAUGAUCUUGGAUAGUUCAGGAUCGACAUUGAGUACAAGUGUUCUGUGCAUACUCAAGAGUGUUGAGUUUUGACUGGUAGGAAGAGGAAGUAGUAGUAGAUGAAGAAGAAAAAAAAAGACAAAGAUGUUGGAUCAUACAUCCCAACGGUAAAGGGGUGUAGAGCUGUCCGUGUUUUCACUAUUCGACAUACAACCAGUCAGCUUCAUGCUAACUUGUUUGUUGAUUGUUUUGGUCAGAGAGCGGCAGGCAGAGAGGGGGCAAAUGGCCACCUAGUAUAGCAGUGGAAGAUAUACUUAUAUCAAUAAAAUAUUCUGACUGCUUGUACACCAGGAUGAGGACAGUAGUCCAUUUAAACUUUUAUGCCAAGUCAAAACUGAAUUGUUGAAAGAAAACGACUUUGCUCCUGUACAGUGUGAACAAAUAAUUAAACAAAUCAAUGGGCUAUUUGGACCAAAAACUUUGUCCUAAGCUGUAAAUAUGUUUGAUUUUGUUGUAAAAAAAAAAAAAAAAGCAUUUCUUGGAAAAACACUCCAGGAGCUCAAGUGUUGUGCACUCCUGCACUGGUUUAAUUCCUCAACACUGGAGGUUGCUGCUUGCUGCAGAUGCUGUCGGAGUUGGGAGUGCCCAAAACUGUUUUCUCUCUUCUUAUGUACAUUAUCCUGUUCAUAGGUAAUGUAAAUCACCUCAUUCUAAAGAGAUGGACAUUUAACAAGCAUUGCUGCAGCUCCAUGGAGGGUCCAAUGGAAAAGAUUUAGCAGUUUUCCUCCUUGUUAUUCUCCUCCUAUCCUCUCUCUCUCUUUUAAAUUGGAGGGGCAGGUGUUUGGGUGCAGCAGAGGUUAAUGUACCAUUCCUCCAUCUCCUCAGAGACCUGUGUCUACAGCCCUGUUUCAUGCCAUUAAAUAGUAAUUGUGAUUAAUGCACCAACACACACUCACACACACAUACACAUAUGCACACGGUCAUACUGUAGUUUAUUGUGUCUAUUGAAUUAAACAACAAAGGAAUAGUCCCUUGCAGUGUUCAACAUAAUGUAUGAUUUACUAUAAUUAAACCGUAUUUGUGAGAACGGUGGUAUGAUAAAUUGGUCUCCAGAGACUUAUUGCAUUUUUUUAUUCAUUUUAAAAUAAUCAAAAAUUUAAAAAAACUGAGGUUUUCUCCCCUAGCUCUUCUAAAUGAUUUCAUCACUUCAUAGAAACAUUUUUUGCAUUGUUUCAUGGAAAUAAAGGUUAAUGUACAUCAUCAUUAAAGUGUGCAUUCAUAGAUUGAGUACAAUGUUUGGAAAAGUGAAUAUUAAAUACAAAAAAUAUAUUUGAAGCUGUGCAUCAGCUGUUAAUUAUGGUGAUUAUUAUAAUAUGGAGAUCAAGAUAACUAUCCUAAUAGCGAUGCUCAUUACAGCAGUCCUGAUAUUACUGCCACAGCUGCUCAUAAGCAGCAGCAGGAAGGUAUGACGGUUGAUUUGAAUACAGAUGAGAUGACCCACUGAGAGAGAGGGAAGAGAUUCACAUGCUUCUCUUUGUGUGAAACUUCAAAACCAAAGCAGGUUUACCAAUCAUGUCAGUAUCAACACAAGGAAACACGAGAAGUCAGCUGAUUCCUUUAAUUUGACGCUCUAUCAGCUGUCUAUUCUGAGUGACACCGUGCAGAUAUUUGUUUAUAUUAGCGCCUGGUCAAAAAAGGAUCAUUGCAUUAUGCUGCUGCACCGUCUCACCCUCACACAUUGAUUUCCUCUGAAUUCACUUAUUGCUAAUGCUGCUGGGGCUGCGUCUCUCACAUGAGCUUUAUUUGAAGAUGCACUGUGGUUUUGCUCGAGGCUAAUUAUAGAAGGUAGAUGCUGCAGUCUAUUUCCUCUCGGCUCACUUAAUCCUGUGUAUGUGCUCUUUAUUCAAAGCUGUUUGUAUUUGAGAAAGCCAGCUAUUUCGUUAUAUGAUUAAGUCAGUACCACAAAAGAGAAGCAUUGAGAUUUUCAGAAUAAGGUCAUCAUUUUAAAAGAAUAAAGGUUAUUACUCAAGAUAAAAGGCUGAGAGAGAAAAUUUGAUGUGAAUUUACAAGAAAAUUUGUGCAGUAUAACAAGAGUGAAGUAAUGAACUUACAAAGCUGUAAAUUUUCAAGAUCAGUCAUAAUUAUACAAGAAUAAAGUCUUAUGAGGAAAAAUUACAAAAGUAAAAUUAUAAUAUUACUGAAAUAAAGACACAUUUACAAAAAAUAGUCAUAUUACAAGAAUUGCGUCGGAGUAUUAGCGCCACAUUUAGAGAAAAAAAAAUAAGACUUAGAGAUUAAAGUCGUCAAUUUACGAGAAUAAAGUUGUAAUAAAGUAAUUACUCACGAGAAUAAAAUCAUAACUUCAUUCUCGACUUUAUUUCAAAGUCUUUUUUUUUUUUUUCUCAAUGCGGCCCUAAUACUCCGUCAUAAAGAAUAAAGCAGGUUUUUUUGUUUGUUUUUUUAAAAAGAAUAAGGUUUUGAAACGUACAGCUGUUCUUUCACUAUGGGAGCCUGUAUGUUAAGGGUAAUAUUGGAGGAAGAUACAUACAUGUAUUAGUAGCCACACAAUAUUAAGAUACUUAAUCCUUUUGCACAUCAGCACCAAUGUGUCUCAGCUCAAACAGGAUUGUAGAAAAACUGAGUGUGAUGCAUAAUUAUUGAUUAAACCUAAACCAGCUUUGCAAGAUACUCCAUAUUUCUUAUUUUGGCAGAUGGCGUUUCUCUUACUGUCGAACCAUUAUGAAAAAAUCUUGUAAUACUAUAACCUUAUUCACAUCAUAAAUUAUUUGAUAUUAGGACUUUAUUCUUGCCGAUCUACCUUUUAUCUGGGAAUCUCUUCUUUAACAUGGCCCCGAUACCCCAUCCUUUGGUCAUUUACAAGUCAAAUGAUAAACCUGUUUAGUAAGUUUCACCAUGAUGACGUUUUAUUUUGCAUUUUUUAACCAGAUCUGGUUUCCUGGGUUAAACACUGAUGUCUUUGUUGUUCAGAUUAGGCCUCCAAACAAAGACUCUGGUGAGGAGCCACAUGCAUGCCUGAGUCAAACCCAGAUUCUUUGUCUCUGGUUCUGGUUCAACACACAAACGCAAGCGGGUGAAGAAUCACCGGACUGACAGGUUUCCUGCUAGUCGACCUGACUCUGGCUUACCCAUGUGGAAUUUCAAGGUUUAGUGAGUGUGUUACAUUUGAGAGGCUGACAAGAUAUGAAAUGUUGCACAUUCCCUGAACUGAUCUCAGAAGUCGAGUUUAGAGGGAUCUCCUGAGCCGCAAAUAUGUACAGUUUAGAAAAUAGAGUUUGAGUGUUAAAGAAAAAUGAGUAUUUCACACUUUGGGUUUAAUUUCAGGACUGUGUGGGAGCACUGCAAUUCUGCAAAAUCUAAAAUUUUCUCAUCAACAUUUAAUCAAAGUAAAAUUUAAAAUUCAGUUUCUGCAGGAAGGAAGCAAGAAAACUCUAAACUGCCAAAAUGAGAAAAAUCUGCAGAGUGGUGAUAAAAACACAACCUCUGCAAUAAAAACGGGAAGUUAAGCCAUCCAGAUCAGCCGUUUUCAUCUCGGCUCCCCAGACGGUCAAAAAGUUAUUUCUGAAAACACGAGUGGCUAUUUUUACGCACUGAAAAUAUCUCGUCUUGUUUACUGAUUCCCUGUCCCACUUCACGGCGCACGCCCUCCACCCUCCUCCUCUCUUGUUCCACUUUUCUAUCCCACUCAGUCUGAGUUCUCUCAGCCGCAGAUUUAACAAGCAGAGAUUAGACAGGGGAGAAUCACACCCAGUCUCUGACUUUAUAAGACGUCUCUCUUCUCCACAUCUGCUCUUGUAAUUACACGGCAAUCUGCCCCUGCUCCCACUUAGCUGUGUCCUCAGUUUUCAUCUGCCUUUGUGUCUAACCACCAACUUUUUUUGUUCUGCCUACACAUUGUUUUUCAUUUCCAUGCAUGUGUCUUGCAUUAAAGAAACUUAGAGUUGGAUUCUUCUAAUCAGCAAAGAUAUGAACAUUGAGUAUAUCUAGCUACAGCCUGACCUGUAAAGCUCUCUAUGCUUAUUGGCAGACCAGACUAAAAUCAGGGCUAAGGAGUCAAUAUCAUCAAUUCCCAUCAAAAGCAAAAAUUUUCAUUUAUUUUUUUUUUUUGAAUAUGUGCGUGCAACACAAGAAAGUAAACUGAAAUCAAACAAAUAUGAGAAUAUUCAAAACAAAAAUAACAACAAUCAUAGCAAAAAAUAAAUACAAAUUUAAUACUAUUAAUAAUAAUGCGAACCCAAGAUGUCCGAAAACGAAUAAGAUGAAGCAUUAUCCUUUUUUAAACCUACCCCUUAUCCUCUACUCAAUAAACAGUCAAUCUCCAACAUAUUUACAUUAUAUUAACAAAAAAUAGAACAUAAAUAGAGUAAAUAAGUACAUAAAUCAUUCAUGAAAAUACCCGAUGGUUAGAGCCCUUCUUCCUCCCUGUACCUGGUGAGAACCAUGAUUUUACACCGCUUUUUAAACUGGGUUAUGCUUCGACAACGCUUGAGCUUCACACCUAAUCUGUUCCACAGCCUUACUCCACACACAGACACAAAAACUUUUUAAUGUUGUACAUGCCCACUGAUGCUUUAAGUUAAAGUCCUCCCCUCUGGUGAUUUUAAUUCACAAAUAAAAGUAUAUCCAAACCUGCACACAAGUCCUACUGCAAUGAAUUGAUCUUUUUGAGCUGCAUGUUAGAUACACUGAUUGCUAGAUAUUCCCCAUGCAUGCAGCAUGCAACAGCAAUGCACAAUAUAUGCGGGCGAAUUUUCAACCACCUCUGCUUUCAGUAGGUAUGCAGGGUCACAGAUAUCAAUAUAAAUGCAGGAUGAGCUGAACUUUGACACCCGUAAGCUAGCAGGAUUACUCACUUCAAAUGGCAAAAACAGGUGGUGCUGGAAACUGCAAUAUGUGGAAUUUGUUUUAAUGUAAUGAAUCACUCUGAGAGACCUUCAAAAACUGCAUCUUUUAUAUUGGUGCAAUUUAUCGACCAGGUUUAAGAGUUUAAAAGUGUAAAGAUUUACUCCAUGGAUAAAGACUACUUCAGCGCUCUUGUGUUUACACCCCGACAAACAUAAAAAACAAGCAUCACACACGGACACUGAAAGAACACACUGCAAGGAUCACAUGAAGAUGAAGAAAGCUGUUAACAACAACUCUUUCCUUCAGCGGCACUCUCGUCUUUGGUGUCUGACAUGAUAUAAAGACAUGCUGACCUCCCAGAGGUCAUCAGAGGCAAACAGGAGGGGGAGGUGAAGUCUGAAGCGAACGUGCGUCUGGGAACCAAGUGUGAUUCACACGCUACUCAUCCCCAUACGGCUCUGCUCUAUACAGAGCCCCGGGCACUUCACUGAGAGGGGGCUUUGUGUGGACUCCUCUGAGUGUUUGUGAGUGAGAGUUAGAAAGACCUCCUGUGAAUCAACAACUGUAUAUUUCAUUUGUCUCCUCCUGACGAGUCAAGAGUUCAUGGUUCGUUCAUUUGUUUCUUUGUUCCUCAGACUCCAAACAGCCAAACAGGAAUCAGCACAAGACUGAGUUCAAGUCAGAUGAAGUUCAGCUACACAAACAGGUCACAAUUAGAAAGUUGCUCACUCGAUGAGUCCAUCCACACGUGGCUUUAAGUGGAUAAGUGAAACAAGUUGAAGAGGGUUGUUAUUAUUACCCACAAUAGAGCUAAUUAGAGCGCUAGUUCAAAACCCUUUUGUUGAGGGCCUGAAAGUCACAGCAGAGUGGCCACAAACCUCACAACUCCAUGAAAACUACUUCAGUCACACCUUUAAAAGCUUCUGGAGAUUUAGCUUAGAAGAGUGAAAAUGUCAUUUUAACAUGUCAUGUUCAUUUUAACAAGGACAAAACUGGGAUGGUUUGGGAACUGGAGCAGAGUAUCUCCAAAACGAUACUCCAAGCCUGCAGAAAACAAUACCUUCUAAAAGAGGUCCAAGUAAGGAAGACGAGGGCAGCUAAGGCUGACAUACUCUACAUAAGGAGGUAAGCCUGGCCUGUGUGGUCUGAUUCAAUGGGAAAACCUGCUCGAGCUCAAAGGGAUAUUCUGGCGUAAAAUUAAUUUAGGGUCAAACGCACCAUAACACUGAGUUAGACACCCCCAACUUAUACCAACUUUAGUAACGACCGCACGAUAGCAAUA
Non-coding RNA from Xyrichtys novacula (pearly razorfish), 9053 nucleotides. NCBI's taxonomy places the organism in Eukaryota, Metazoa, Chordata, Actinopteri, Labriformes, Labridae. The record is from the annotation of a GenBank genome assembly.